GAACGCACCUGGCGCUCUCUUGGACUUACAUCCGGAGAGCAUGCCUGUCUGAGGGCCGCGAAUUUCUUCGAACGACAGCUUUGCUUGCAGAGUUGGCGGAUCGGUACUGAGGCUUGCCAUUUGCACUGGCUGCUUCGAAAUACAUCAGCUGGACUGUACAUGCUAGAGAGCAGAAGGAUAUACGUCCCUCUCCCUCCGGAUUUUGAUAAUUAUCAAAACACGGACGUGAUGGAAACUUCUUUUGCUUGGGCGUGAACGCUGGCUUCUUAAAACCGCCCCACUGCUUUUGGCAGAGGGGAUCUAAUUCAAACGGCCUCAGAUCAGGUAGGACUACCCGCUGAACUUAAG
RNAcentral lists this unclassified non-coding RNA (348 nucleotides) under Farysia acheniorum. Its description in RNAcentral is "sequence contains 5.8S rRNA gene". Lineage: Eukaryota; Fungi; Basidiomycota; Ustilaginomycetes; Ustilaginales; Ustilaginaceae. The record is from RNAcentral.